AGACUCUCGGGCUCUCCAAAAGCGCUUCCCAAGGCCGCAAAUCAGUCCUGAUGUUCAGGCAACUGCGCAUCCGGCCUUGGUGUUAUCCCCUCUGCGGCAAACCGCUGUUCNNNNNNNNNNNNNACCUGGAGUGUAUCCCCGCCCUUGAGAUGGAGAAUUUCGCGGGCUUCAUCGGGAGUGGCGACUUCGAGCCCGAGACCUUCGAUGAUCUUGCGCGCGAGGCGCACCUGCUCCGCAUUUGACUCGGCCAUACGUCCCGGCGCCGCCCAGAGCGAAUCUUCAAGCCCGACGCGGAU
RNAcentral lists this unclassified non-coding RNA (296 nucleotides) under Hevea brasiliensis (rubber tree). The record is from RNAcentral. Lineage: Eukaryota; Viridiplantae; Streptophyta; Magnoliopsida; Malpighiales; Euphorbiaceae.